UAUAAAGUGGUGUUGAAGCAUGAAGUAUUUUGAUUUCUUAGGUAAAAAUUUGGCAUUUUUCUUUAUAU
RNAcentral lists this transfer RNA (68 nucleotides) under Pleuropoma jana. RNAcentral's name for it is "tRNA-Gln". Lineage: Eukaryota; Metazoa; Mollusca; Gastropoda; Cycloneritida; Helicinidae. The record is from RNAcentral.